AGUGAACGCUGGCGGUAGGCCUAACACAUGCAAGUCGAACGGCAGCACAGUAAGAGCUUGCUCUUACGGGUGGCGAGUGGCGGACGGGUGAGGAAUACAUCGGAAUCUACUUUUUCGUGGGGGUUAACGUAGGGAAACUUACGCUAAUACCGCAUACGACCUACGGGUGAAAGCAGGGGAUCUUCGGACCUUGCGCGAUUGAAUGAGCCGAUGUCGGAUUAGCUAGUUGGCGGGGGAAAGGCCAACCAAGGCGACGAUCCGUAGCUGGUCUGAGAGGAUGAUCAGCCACACUGGAACUGAGACACGGUCCAGACGCCUACGGGAGGCAGCAGUGGGGAAUAUUGGACAAUGGGCGCAAGCCCGAUCCAGCCAGACCGCGUGGGUGAAGAAGGCCUUCGGGUUGUAAAGCCCUUUUGUUGGGAAAGAAAAGCAGCAGGUUAAUACCCCGCUGUCCUGACGGUACCCAAAGAAUAAGCACCGGCUAACUUCGUG
RNAcentral lists this ribosomal RNA (492 nucleotides) under uncultured bacterium. RNAcentral describes it as "partial 16S ribosomal RNA". It matches the Rfam family "Bacterial small subunit ribosomal RNA", at positions 29 to 507 of the family's 1533-position model. The record is from RNAcentral.